AUGGCAACUCCCGGCAAGCCCGACCCGGCCGCUGUGCCGCCGAAAGCGCCGCAGCCACCGGUGAAGGGGGCCAUCAUGCGCUGCGUCUUCCCCUUCCUCCUCGCCACCAACAUCUUCACCGGAGUUUAUGUAUUUGCAAAGACCUACAAACGAGACCAGGACAAGAAAAAUGCUGAGACCGCAGCAGCAGCAGCAGCUGCAGCAGCAUUGUCAGCCCCACCUGUUGCAGUUGCUAAGCCUGCAGAGCCUGCUCCUCCGCCGAAAAGAGUACUCCCACCUUUAUCCGAAGAUGAGCAGCGCCAGGUCUACAAGUGGAUGCUGGAAGAGAAGCGGAAGAGCAAACCACGUGACGCUGCUGAGAAGAACAAAAUCAAUGAGGAGAAGGCUCUUCUCAAGGAGAUCAUCAGGGCAGACUCUCUCCCUCGUUUGUGGUGA
RNAcentral lists this ribosomal RNA (435 nucleotides) under Triticum aestivum (bread wheat). Its description in RNAcentral is "partial small subunit ribosomal RNA". The record is from RNAcentral. Lineage: Eukaryota; Viridiplantae; Streptophyta; Magnoliopsida; Poales; Poaceae.